AGGGGAGUAGCUCAGUUGGUAGAGUAGUGGUCUCCAAAACCAUUGGUCGCAGGUUCGAAUCCUGUCUCCCCUGCCA
RNAcentral lists this transfer RNA (76 nucleotides) under Candidatus Uhrbacteria bacterium CG_4_10_14_0_2_um_filter_41_7. RNAcentral describes it as "tRNA-Trp". It matches the Rfam family "tRNA". From Rfam's summary of the family: Transfer RNA (tRNA) molecules are approximately 80 nucleotides in length. RNAcentral also lists the same sequence under 2 other names. The record is from RNAcentral. Lineage: Bacteria; Candidatus Uhriibacteriota.